CUGUUCUAUUCCUCCCCCGAGCCCAGCCUGACCCAAGGACGCCGUCCUCGCCUUACCUGCCGGGCUUUAGACCAGCUGCAUGGACAUGACUCACGUCACAUCUCUAACACGACGGGGGAGUGAGAUCACUGAGACCCCAUUUUACAAAAGAAGAAACUGAAGCACAGAGAAGUCGAGAGACUUGCCCAAGGAUACGCAAUCACAAGUGGAAGAACCAGAUGUGCAAACUCCAGAACAUGAGCCACUACGAAGGGGAAGCCCAGGCGGUUCUGCAUCGAUCUGGUGGGAGGUCCCCCUGGAGCUCCAUGAAUACUUCAAAAGGAGACAUUUCUUAUCAAGUCUUGGGUUACACUGAGGGGCAGUUUAUGAAAAACAAAACAAAACAAACAAAAAAAAAAAACAAGGCAAAUUCUGAAUUUUUACCCCUUCUUUAUUAUUUUCAAAAUAAUAAAUGGGAUACUUUGCAUGCUCCAAA
Eptesicus fuscus (big brown bat) is the source of this 475-nucleotide long non-coding RNA. RefSeq lists it as uncharacterized. The transcript is spliced from 3 exons. NCBI's taxonomy places the organism in Eukaryota, Metazoa, Chordata, Mammalia, Chiroptera, Vespertilionidae. The record is from RefSeq and is a predicted model, not a curated record.